UGGUGAGAGGAUGUGUUAAAUUCAUGGCUGUUCCAUCCCUAGGCCUAAAAACUGAUGCCAUCCAGGCAGACUAAACCAAACAACCCUAGUGGGCACACGGCCUGGGUUAUAUUAUGGCCAAUGCUCAGAAAUCUGCGGCUCAAACCACAGUUUUAUACCUGUUGUCCUUGAAUUGGUUCCACUACCAUAUUUCGAAAAAUGAUCAGCAUCUAUACGGUAAA
Molecule: long non-coding RNA, 221 nt
Organism: Lynx canadensis (Canada lynx)
Lineage: Eukaryota; Metazoa; Chordata; Mammalia; Carnivora; Felidae
Exons: 3
Source: RefSeq, a predicted model, not a curated record